GAUGAAGAACGUAGCGAAAUGCGAUACUUGGUGUGAAUUGCAGAAUCCCGUGAACCAUCGAGUCUUUGAACGCAAGUUGCGCCCGAAGCCUUUAGGCCGAGGGCACGCCUGCCUGGGCGUCACACGCCGUUGCCCCCCCCGCGCCUCCCUCGGGAGCGUCGGGGGGCGGACGAUGGCCUCCCGUGCGUCACCCCGCGCGGCUGGCACAAAUGCCGGGUCCUCGGUGACGAACGCCACGACAAUCGGUGGUUGUCGAACCUCGGUUGCCCGUUGUGCGCUUUCGUCGCGCUCCGAUCGGCCCGCGACGCUCCCCGCUCCGCUUCGGCCGAGCUUUCGACGCGACCCCAGGUCAGGCGGGGUUACCCGCUGAAUUUAAGCAUAUCAAUAACGGAGG
RNAcentral lists this unclassified non-coding RNA (394 nucleotides) under soil metagenome. RNAcentral's name for it is "partial contains 5.8S ribosomal RNA, internal transcribed spacer 2, and large subunit ribosomal RNA". The stretch from base 1 to 122 matches the Rfam family "5.8S ribosomal RNA", at positions 35 to 154 of the family's 154-position model. The record is from RNAcentral.